UACGUAGGGUGUAAGCGUUAAUCGGAAUUACUGGGCGUAAAGCGUGCGCAGGCGGUGAUGUAAGUCAGUUGUGAAAUCCCCGGGCUCAACCUGGGAACUGCAUCUGUGACUGCAUCGCUGGAGUGCGGCAGAGGGGGAUGGAAUUCCGCGUGUAGCAGUGAAAUGCGUAGAUAUGCGGAGGAACACCGAUGGCGAAGGCAAUCCCCUGGGCCUGCACUGACGCUCAUGCACGAAAGCGUGGGGAGCAAACAGG
This 253-nucleotide ribosomal RNA is filed under the name uncultured bacterium. RNAcentral describes it as "partial 16S ribosomal RNA". It matches the Rfam family "Bacterial small subunit ribosomal RNA", at positions 524 to 776 of the family's 1533-position model. The record is from RNAcentral.